UAAGAGACAGCAGAGCCGCGGUAAUACAGAGGGUGCGAGCGUUAAUCGGAUUUACUGGGCGUAAAGCGUGCGUAGGCGGCUUUUUAAGUCGGAUGUGAAAUCCCUGAGCUUAACUUAGGAAUUGCAUUCGAUACUGGGAAGCUAGAGUAUGGGAGAGGAUGGUAGAAUUCCAGGUGUAGCGGUGAAAUGCGUAGAGAUCUGGAGGAAUACCGAUGGCGAAGGCAGCCAUCUGGCCUAAUACUGACGCUGAGGUACGAAAGCAUGGGGAGCAAACAGGAUUAGAUACCCCGGUAGUCCCUGUCUCUUAUACA
Molecule: ribosomal RNA, 311 nt
Filed under: uncultured bacterium
Lineage: Bacteria
Description: partial 16S ribosomal RNA
Rfam family: Bacterial small subunit ribosomal RNA
Source: RNAcentral